Molecule: long non-coding RNA, 234 nt
Organism: Suricata suricatta (meerkat)
Lineage: Eukaryota; Metazoa; Chordata; Mammalia; Carnivora; Herpestidae
Exons: 3
Source: RefSeq, a predicted model, not a curated record
GUGAACACACAGGUUGAUGAAAUUUAGAUUAUAUUACUCUAAUGUUUUUAACAGUAUGGAGAUUUUCUCCUCACGAUAUGGAUUGGUGAGAAAUGAUACCAAGCUGGAAUUCUCCAUUAAGACCUUCUGGAAUGUCAUUUGUGGAUACCAUUGUUUCAGGUGCAAAGAUUGGUGGCCAACUUGUAUCAGACUCUUGGAUGUGCUCUCAAAAGUGGAGCUUGGUGGAGAGAGGAG